Molecule: non-coding RNA, 36 nt
Filed under: unclassified sequences
Description: DUF805b RNA
Rfam family: DUF805b RNA
About the family: Bacteroidetes, Chlorobi (1 example), Proteobacteria. Lineage (Flavobacteria)
Source: RNAcentral
UUGGAGUAUGCCGAAAAUCCGAACAAAGAGUAGGCA